This is a long non-coding RNA of Haliotis rubra (blacklip abalone), 108 nucleotides long. RefSeq lists it as uncharacterized. NCBI's taxonomy places the organism in Eukaryota, Metazoa, Mollusca, Gastropoda, Lepetellida, Haliotidae. The record is from RefSeq and is a predicted model, not a curated record. The transcript has 3 exons.
ACAUCCUGUAUAGGUACAUUACGGUACACGUGUUACCUGUAGAAUAUCCUGUAUAGAGCUGUAUAGACUACAGUACAAUAGGUACAUUACGGUACAUGUGUUACCUGU